UACGAAGGGGGGCUAGCGUUGUUCGGAAUUACUGGGCGUAAAGCGCACGUAGGCGGAUUGUUAAGUUAGGGGUGAAAUCCCGGGGCUCAACCCCGGAACUGCCUUUAAUACUGGCAAUCUCGAGUCCGAGAGAGGUGAGUGGAAUUCCGAGUGUAGAGGUGAAAUUCGUAGAUAUUCGGAGGAACACCAGUGGCGAAGGCGGCUCACUGGCUCGGUACUGACGCUGGAGGUGCGAAAGCGUGGGGAGCAAACAGG
RNAcentral lists this ribosomal RNA (255 nucleotides) under uncultured bacterium. RNAcentral's name for it is "partial 16S ribosomal RNA". It matches the Rfam family "Bacterial small subunit ribosomal RNA", at positions 524 to 776 of the family's 1533-position model. The record is from RNAcentral.